This 786-nucleotide ribosomal RNA is filed under the name uncultured fungus. RNAcentral describes it as "SSU rRNA". It matches the Rfam family "Eukaryotic small subunit ribosomal RNA", at positions 793 to 1605 of the family's 1831-position model. The record is from RNAcentral. Lineage: Eukaryota; Fungi.
AAUUCGCCCUUUUAGCAUGGAAUAAUGGAAUAGGACGCGCGUUCCCAUUUUGUUGGUUUCUGAGAUCGCCGUAAUGAUUAAUAGGGAUAGUUGGGGGCAUUUGUAUUCCGUCGUCAGAGGUGAAAUUCUUGGAUUGCCGGAAGACAAACUACUGCGAAAGCAUUUGCCAAGGAUGUUUUCAUUGAUCAAGAACGAAGGAAGGGGGAUCGAAAACGAUUAGAUACCGUUGUAGUCUCUUCUGUAAACUAUGCCAAUUGGGGAUCAGCUCAGGAUUUUUAAUGACUGAGUUGGCACCCGAAGAGAAAUCUUUAAAUGAGGUUCGGGGGGGAGUAUGGUCGCAAGGCUGAAACUUAAAGGAAUUGACGGAAGGGCACCACCAGGUGUGGAGCCUGCGGCUUAAUUUGACUCAACACGGGGAAACUCACCAGGUCCAGACACAAAAAGGAUUGACAGAUUGAUAGCUCUUUCUUGAUCUUGUGGUUGGUGGUGCAUGGCCGUUCUUAGUUGGUGGAGUGAUUUGUCUGGUUAAUUCCGAUAACGAACGAGACCUUAACCUGCUAAAUAGACCAGCCGGCUUUGGCUGGCUGCUGUCUUCUUAGAGGGACUAUCAGCGUUUAGCUGAUGGAAGUUUGAGGCAAUAACAGGUCUGUGAUGCCCUUAGAUGUUCUGGGCCGCACGCGCGCUACACUGACAGAGCCAGCGAGUUUUUUUCCUUGGCCGGAAGGCCUGGGUAAUCUUGUGAAACUCUGUCGUGAUGGGGAUAGGGCAUUGCAAUAAGGGCGAAUU